This 492-nucleotide ribosomal RNA is filed under the name uncultured bacterium. RNAcentral's name for it is "partial 16S ribosomal RNA". It matches the Rfam family "Bacterial small subunit ribosomal RNA", at positions 29 to 507 of the family's 1533-position model. The record is from RNAcentral.
AGUGAACGCUGGCGGUAGGCCUAACACAUGCAAGUCGAACGGCAGCACAGUAAGAGCUUGCUCUUACGGGUGGCGAGUGGCGGACGGGUGAGGAAUACAUCGGAAUCUACUUUUUCGUGGGGGAUAACGUAGGGAAACUUACGCUAAUACCGCAUACGACCUACGGGUGAAAGCAGGGGAUCUUCGGACCUUGCGCAAUUGAAUGAGCCGAUGUCGGAUUAGCUAGUUGGCGGGGUAAAGGCCCACCAAGGCGACGAUCCGUAGCUGGUCUGAGAGGAUGAUCAGCCACACUGGAACUGAGACACGGUCCAGACUCCUACGGGAGGCAGCAGUGGGGAAUAUUGGACAAUGGGCGCAAGCCUGAUCCAGCCAUACCGCGUGGGUGAAGAAGGCCUUCGGGUUGUAAAGCCCUUUUGUUGGGAAAGAAAAGCAGCAGGUUAAUACCCCGCUGUUCUGACGGUACCCAAGGAAUAAGCACCGGCUAACUUCGUG